GAUAAUUCGCUUGUUUACAGCUCAUAAACUCCUUCAUUUGAUUAGCAUCUAGUUUAUCUAGUACUGCCCAUAAUGGCUCCAUACAACCCUUCUCCACCCAAGACAGUAAUAGUGUUCUAAAAAUCUCCCGCUCUAUCACGUAAGCACGAUGACUAUCAAAUCCCUCUUUCGCCCAUAUGUGUAUAAAAAGCUUUUUAGCUGCAUCUACAUAAUCUCCUGAAUAGUUUUGUAUUUCUAUGGAGUGCAAGCGGGCAUAAUAACUACCUUGUGAAAGGUCACUUGGGCUUAAACAAU
This is a non-coding RNA of Cinara cedri, 294 nucleotides long. The record is from the annotation of a GenBank genome assembly. NCBI's taxonomy places the organism in Eukaryota, Metazoa, Arthropoda, Insecta, Hemiptera, Aphididae.